RNAcentral lists this small nucleolar RNA (136 nucleotides) under Mastacembelus armatus (zig-zag eel). RNAcentral's name for it is "Small nucleolar RNA SNORA31 (ENSMAMG00000027946.1)". It matches the Rfam family "Small nucleolar RNA SNORA31". From Rfam's summary of the family: ACA31 (SNORA31) belongs to the H/ACA class of snoRNAs which are thought to guide the sites of modification of uridines to pseudouridines. ACA31 is predicted to guide the pseudouridylation of U3713 in 28S rRNA and U218 in 18S rRNA. Lineage: Eukaryota; Metazoa; Chordata; Actinopteri; Synbranchiformes; Mastacembelidae. The record is from Rfam by way of RNAcentral.
AUGCAUCUUUGACAGCCUGGGCUUUCUGGUGUGAGAGAUCCUGGGUUUUAACAUUUCAGAUGCAAUAAUAAAUGUCCCUGCGCUUUCUGCACGCCUCUUUUUCAUGGCGUCUCGGAUUGAAGAGGGGAUGACAAAU